GUACAAUGGCUAGAAUAGCAGUCGCCAACUGGCGGUCCAUAGACCACUGGUGGUAUGUGAGGUCUGAAAGGUUGUCAACCGCUGCUCUA
Molecule: long non-coding RNA, 89 nt
Organism: Pipistrellus kuhlii (Kuhl's pipistrelle)
Lineage: Eukaryota; Metazoa; Chordata; Mammalia; Chiroptera; Vespertilionidae
Exons: 3
Source: RefSeq, a predicted model, not a curated record